RNAcentral lists this ribosomal RNA (468 nucleotides) under uncultured bacterium. Its description in RNAcentral is "partial 16S ribosomal RNA". It matches the Rfam family "Bacterial small subunit ribosomal RNA", at positions 28 to 507 of the family's 1533-position model. The record is from RNAcentral.
GACGAACGCUGGCGGCGUGCUUAACACAUGCAAGUCGAACGGAAAGGCCCUGCUUUUGUGGGGUGCUCGAGUGGCGAACGGGUGAGUAACACGUGUGUAACCUGCCCUUGACUUUGGGAUAACUUCAGGAAACUGGGGCUAAUACCGGGUAGGAGCUCCUGCUGCAUGGGGGGGGUUGGAAAGUUUCGGCGGUUGGGGCUGGUUUAGCUGCUUAUCCGCUUGAUUGUGGGGUAGUGGCUUACCAAGGGUUUGAAGGGUAGCCUGCCUUAGAGCGUGGCCGGCCACAUUGCGCCUGAGAUACGCCCCAGUAGCCAACGGGCGGCAGCAGGCGGAAAUAUUGCACAAUGGGCGCGAGCCUGAGGCGGCAACGCCGCGUGCGGAAUACUGGCCUUCGAGUUGAAAACAGCUUUCGACUGUACCGAAGCGUGCGUGACGGUAAUGGGUAAGGAAGCAACGGCUAACUACGUG